This is a non-coding RNA of Xenopus tropicalis (tropical clawed frog), 72 nucleotides long. The record is from Rfam. Lineage: Eukaryota; Metazoa; Chordata; Amphibia; Anura; Pipidae.
GGGGGUAUAGCUCAGUGGUAGGGCAUUUGACUUCAGAUCAAGAUGUCCCCAGUUCAAGUCAGGGUGCCCCUU